ACCAGGUUGAAUGGUUACAUCUCACAUUGAGGGUGGAUUUUCUUCUCUCAGUCCACUGACUCAAAUGUCCAUCUCCUCUGGCAACACCCUUACAGACACACCCAAACACAAUACUUUACCAGCUAUCUAGACAUCCUUACAUCCAAUCAAGUUGACACCUA
Long non-coding RNA from Sapajus apella (tufted capuchin), 161 nucleotides. RefSeq lists it as uncharacterized. NCBI's taxonomy places the organism in Eukaryota, Metazoa, Chordata, Mammalia, Primates, Cebidae. The record is from RefSeq and is a predicted model, not a curated record. The transcript has 3 exons.